AGAGUUUGAUCCUGGCUCAGGAUGAACGCUAGCGGCAGGCUUAACACAUGCAAGUCGAGGGGUAACAGCGGUAGCAAUAUCGGCUGACGACCGGCGCACGGGUGCGUAACACGUAUGCAACCUACCUUUUACAGGAGGAUAGCCCCGAGAAAUCGGGAUUAAUACUCCAUUGUUUUAUUACCAGGCAUCUGGUAAUUCAUAAAGAUUUAUCGGUAAAAGAUGGGCAUGCGCAACAUUAGCUAGUUGGUAAGGUAACGGCUUACCAAGGCAACGAUGUUUAGGGGAUCUGAGAGGAUUAUCCCCCACACUGGUACUGAGACACGGACCAGACUCCUACGGGAGGCAGCAGUGAGGAAUAUUGGGCAAUGGACGCAAGUCUGACCCAGCCAUGCCGCGUGCAGGAUGACGGCCCUAUGGGUUGUAAACUGCUUUUAUACAGGAAGAAACCUAUCAACUUGUUGAUAAUUGCCGGUACUGGAUGAAUAAGCAUCGGCUAACUCCGUGCCAGCAGCCGCGGUAAUACGGAGGAUGCAAGCGUUAUCCGGAUUCACUGGGUUUAAAGGGUGCGUAGGCGGAAUAAUAAGUCAGUGGUGAAAUACUUGGGCUCAACCGAAGUACUGCCAUUGAAACUGUUGUUCUUGAGUGCAAAUGAGGUGGGCGGAAUGUGCCAUGUAGCGGUGAAAUGCUUAGAUAUGUCACAGAAGACCGAUUGCGAAGGCAGCUCACUAAGAUGUAACUGACGCUGAUGCACGAAAGCGUGGGUAGCGAACAGGAUUAGAUACCCUGGUAGUCCACGCUGUAAACGAUGAUCACUCGAUGUAUGCGAUACACAGUAUGCGUCUAAGCGAAAGCGAUAAGUGAUCCACCUGGGGAGUACGAUCGCAAGGUUGAAACUCAAAGGAAUUGACGGGGGCCCGCACAAGCGGAGGAGCAUGUGGUUUAAUUCGAUGAUACGCGAGGAACCUUACCUGGGCUUAAAUUUAUGGUGCGAUAUUGUGAAAGCAAUAGUUCCUACGGGACGCCAUAAAAGGUGCUGCAUGGUUGUCGUCAGCUCGUGCCGUGAGGUGUCGGCUUAAGUGCCAUAACGAGCGCAACCCCUAUCAUUAGUUGCCAUCAUUUAAGUUGGGGACUCUAAUGAAACUGCCUACGCAAGUAGAGAGGAAGGUGGGGAUGACGUCAAAUCAGCACGGCCCUUAUGUCCAGGGCUACACACGUGCUACAAUGGUCAAUACAGAGGGCUGCUACCGGGUGACCGGAUGCAAAUCUCGAAAGUUGGUCUCAGUUCGGAUCGAAGUCUGCAACUCGACUUCGUGAAGUUGGAUUCGCUAGUAAUCGCGUAUCAGCAAUGACGCGGUGAAUACGUUCCCGGGCCUUGUACACACCGCCCGUCAAGCCAUGGGAGUUUGGGGUACCUGAAGUCCGUAACCGUAAGGAGCGGCCUAGGGUAAAACAGAUGACUGGGGCUAAGUCGUAACAAGGUA
This 1481-nucleotide ribosomal RNA is filed under the name metagenome. RNAcentral's name for it is "bacterial SSU rRNA". It matches the Rfam family "Bacterial small subunit ribosomal RNA". The record is from RNAcentral.